This 439-nucleotide ribosomal RNA is filed under the name uncultured bacterium. RNAcentral describes it as "partial 16S ribosomal RNA". It matches the Rfam family "Bacterial small subunit ribosomal RNA", at positions 338 to 795 of the family's 1533-position model. The record is from RNAcentral.
CCUACGGGUGGCAGCAGUGGGGAAUAUUGCACAAUGGGCGCAAGCCUGAUGCAGCAACGCCGCGUGAGCGAUGAAGGCCUUCGGGUCGUAAAGCACUGUCCUCAAGGAAGAUAAUGACGGUACUUGAGGAGGAAGCCCCGGCUAAUUCCGUGCCAGCAGCCGCGGUAAUACGUAGGGGGCUAGGCUUAUCCGGAAUUACUGGGCGUAAAGGGAGCGGAGGUGGUUUCUUAAGUCAGAGGGGAAAGGCUACGGCUCAACCGUAGUAAGCCUUUGAAACUGGGGAACUUGAGUGCAGUAGAGGAGAGUAGAAUUCCUGGUGUAGCGGUGAAAUGCGUAGAGAUUAGGAGGAACACCAGUGGCGAAGGCGGCUCUCUGGACUGUAACUGACACUGAGGCACGAAAGCGUGGGGAGCAAACAGGAUUAGAUACCCCAGUAGUC